UCUGACCGUCGAUUAUUUACUCGACAAUUCCAAAAAUCAGUGCCAUUCAUUGGCUUUAGCUUUGCCCUUGAACUUGAAAUCUCGUGCCUUAUUCUUUCCUGGGGACUGGUGUUGGAUAUUGAACGGGCGGAGUUACCGCCGGGAUGAUGGAUGAAGGAGAUGAUGGCCUAAACUUGGCUGCGCGCAUUCUCAUUUUCGCGUGGCCUGCCACUAGUGUUUCGCAGAUUCACAAAGGGUGUCACAGGCAUAGCUGGAGGAAGAAAGGCUGGAUUCAUGCAGUUCACACUCCUGUGGAUUCGCUAGUGUUUGGUGGAAACUUUCUGCACAGUUUCAACAUAAGCGGUCAGCUUGCCGUGGCGGACAUUGAAGAAACUACUGCGGUACGUGAGCUGUGCUGUGCAUGUCUGUGAUAUCUUCUACAACUCUACCACGGCAAUGCCUUGUGUGAGCUUUCCAAGGCUUGGAGUUGUGCAUGAAGGUUUCUGUUUUGUUAUGCUCAUACGUCGUUCAUCGAUGUUGCCGUGGAACUGUGUGUGUAUGUGUCUCUGUCUCUCUAUGCCUCUGUGUGUGUGUGUGUGUGUGUGUGUGUCUCUCUCUCUCUCUCUCUCUCUCUCCCUCUCUCUCUCUCCGUCUCUCUCUCUCUCCAUCUCCGUACACUUCACUUUGUACCACUAUGACUCCCUCUGUGUCUUAAAAAUACAAAAUGUGGGGAAACGAUUUCCAUGUGGCCGUGGCUGUUGAAUUUAUUUUCCUGAGAACGAGAAAGUAUUCUGUCUCUGCUGCUAUGUCCUUUGUCGAUGUGAUUUCGACGUGAGCUGCGGGUCAUUCGCGUUGUUUUUAGACGUGCGAGCCAAAUAACGCGAGCUGAACUUUCGCGUCACGUCAGUAAUAACGUGAAUCUUAACCUCUCUAAUAAAAGCUCAAUAUCGAAGAUGUGUAUAUGCAAUAUUUAUGUUUGUACCAUCAUCAACAAUAAUAGAAAACAGGAUCACUGCACUUCGGAGUAUCCAAACAUAAAUAUGUAGUUAUCCUGUCAAGCAAGAUUACAUAACCCCAUGUACUCUUGUGUCAAAGCACAGGAUCUUAUUCUUACAAGGGAAGAGGCUGCACAGUACACGUAUUAUCACAAUUUAUCAGACGUAUUCGGAAUCUGUGGUGGACAAAGCCCCAUUAGACCUUGUACAGAUUAGUGCAAAGAAAAACGUGUGAUGCGUUGAUUCGCCGUACACAUGUCGUAAUAAUCACUGGUGCGUGGAACAUUGCAUCAUAAAAAUGACGUCAACUUGAAAUUCUGUGGUGACAGCAGGGUGUGCGGGAGUUUCACACUCUUCGGGGGUUAUAUACUCUAAUUUCAGAAAUUUUAGGUGCUCACUAUUUUUCAGUAUGAGGGCAAAAGGCCAGGUUAGGCGAACAGAACUUUUAGGUACAGAGAAGCAGCUCCCUAUUGGAUUACGUGUGUUAGUGUCUGUUCGGUGUAUUGAAACUUUAGGUAUGAAACAGACCCACCAAACGUACCGAAAAAAAAGUACACCAACAAUUUGUGAAAUUACAGUACUCUUGUUGUUGGGUGUUGCCGGUUGAGUGCUGUUCACGGCAGCUAUCCUAUGCCUAAAUAUGGGCUUGUAUAUUCUGAUUGUCUGAUCGCUGACAGAUACGGACGCAGCGAAGCUCUCUCCUGCGCCCGCAUGCGCCGAGAUCCCACUGCUGUCAACGGAUGACACUGCAGCCCAGUCGCCAGCGACGGCGGCAGCUGCUGCUGCUGCUGCUUCGUCAGGAGAUGGGAACAGCUCACAAGGCGGCAAGCCACCUCCAUCACCGCCAUCCUGCCUGCUCUCGGACAUGGCCUGUCUCAGCUCGUAUGAGAUUGAUGGCUUGCGACGGCUGCUGGCCGAGCUGAACGUUUCCACGACGAUGGUGAGAGUGUGUCCCGAGGAGCUGGGGGAUCCUGGGGAGCUCAUGUCGACCGUGGAGAUUCUGUUGAACUAGUUUGAAAGCCGGUUUCGCGAGGACAAGGCCACUGGACAUUUUAUGCUCAUACCGGGAAUACAAUCUGAGAAUCUGCGUGUGUCGCCCGCACCAAUACCUGGCAACAUUGUGGAAAUAGUUGCAGUUGAAACAGAGAUUGUAUGCAAGUCCUCAGCUGCUACUGCAUCUCCAAGAAAGACAGCAGGUAUAUCAUCUCGUGACGACCACAUUGAAGUCUGAAUUUGAAGUGCGAAGAUGCUUCAGCAACCACAUCGUACUUUUCCAUUGCUUUCAUUGUGCUUGUACUGUGCAUGUGUGUAACUUGUGGGGUAUACAUGUGAUGACAUUGUAUGCUGGCGACACGGUCAGAUUUUGUCCAUGCGUGUAACGUACACCUGCAUGUUAUGCAUCGAAAAGGAUCUGCCACUUGCGAUCCUGGGACAAGUAUCAGGUCAGCUUUGUCUUGUGUGGGCUGUACCAGAUUGCUGUUCACUUUUCUAUCUGUUGGAUAUGUGACUUUCUGCAAGUCUCUGGUGUAUGGUGGCCACUUCUUUGCUUGUCACUUUGUAUGAUAUUACAUUCUGUAUUCGCUGCUUUCAUGGCGUGGUCUGCAAACUGCAAUCCUUGGGCAAAUGUCAUGUUUGCUAUAAUGUGCUUUGGCCGUCAGCUUGUCUACACGUUGUAGUUGAAUUAUUUUGUUCCACAACUGACUUCCUGAAGUACGGUGGCCACUGCUUUGCAUGGCAUUUUA
Sycon ciliatum is the source of this 2716-nucleotide long non-coding RNA. RefSeq lists it as uncharacterized. The transcript is spliced from 5 exons. Lineage: Eukaryota; Metazoa; Porifera; Calcarea; Leucosolenida; Sycettidae. The record is from RefSeq and is a predicted model, not a curated record.